RNAcentral lists this long non-coding RNA (244 nucleotides) under Brassica napus (rape). RNAcentral's name for it is "long non-coding RNA (BNAP_LNC016650)". The record is from RNAcentral. Lineage: Eukaryota; Viridiplantae; Streptophyta; Magnoliopsida; Brassicales; Brassicaceae.
CGGAGAUACAGAACUGAACGAGUGUUCGGUGAAGGCUUAAGAUGGAGAUCGACGACGUCGAAGCUCAAGACUCUUCUCGGCCAAAGCUCAAAACUUGACCUUUCAGCUUCCCCUUGCUAUCAAGGCGAGCUCAAUAGAAGUGAAGAGUCUAUUAAACGGUUAUGUUGAGAGGAACAUGGCAUCUCCGAGGUCGCGGUCGCCGACAAGCUGAUGAGCUGACUGAAGACUCUGAACGGAGAGCUCA